This is a non-coding RNA of Colius striatus (speckled mousebird), 46 nucleotides long. Lineage: Eukaryota; Metazoa; Chordata; Aves; Coliiformes; Coliidae. The record is from Rfam.
UAUAAGGAUUUUUUAAAAUCCACCUUGAAGAAAAGUUAUAUACUUA